UAAAAGGAAUCAAAAUUGCAUUUACACAAAUCAAAGUUGAAGCACAAGAAGAAGAAGAUGGUAGUUUGUUGGUGAUUGUGGUUCCAAAAUUGUUGUUGAUUAUCUCUUUCUAUUAGCCUGAUAUUUCAUCUAUUUUAAUUUGUUUGUUAUACUUUUUUUUAUAGUCUGUUUCGUCAUUUAUCAAUUUAAAUUUUGAAUUCGCCUCUACGUUACAUAGAUAUAUUAGACACAACAUUCCAAUCUUGGAACCACAGUUACCACCAUACUAUCAAAUUUCUCAGCCAGGAUUCAUUAAUCAAUUGGGAGUGUGUUUAACAGGUUUGGCUAUAAAAGGAGCGGUCAUUUUUUUCCUUUAAAUAAAAUAGAGUUAUCCUAUUAUUUGCCUUCCUCAGAUGAGACCCUCAUUACUAGGGAUGAAUCAAAUUGACAUAUUGCACGUUGUUGGACCUUCUUUAGCACCAAUUGGCAGGCCCAUUCCGAAGAAAACAUGCCCAACAUAAUUUUUAUUCAAAUCACGUAUUGUAGGACUCAUUCUGAAGACAACGCUUUGAAUAGAUUUUUUUCUAUACCAAGACUCAAUUUUGAUGUUCCCUACUUUAUGUACUGUGAGUCACUGGACAUUUGGAAGUCUGACCAAGUUCCUUCAAAGGUUGACCAAAUCUAAACUCAACUUUUUUUUUCAUACAUAUUAUAUGUUUAUCGGCUAUUUUUAAUUUAAACGAUUGAAUCGACAAUUAUCAUAAAUAAAUUAAAUUAAGUAACAAAACUAAGAGAUAGAUUUCACUAACAAUACUCAACUAUGUAUAAAUUUCUUACAUUAACGAUAUAUAUAACUCAAACUCGCUAAACAUGUACUUAAUCUCCAUAGUUAGGGCAAAAUAGGUUGUCCAAAGAAGGCAACUCUAAUUUCAUUAAGUUAUCAAGAUUAGUACUAGGAUUAUUAGACUUAAACUUUGACAUUUUCACAUGAUCAGACUCCACUGAUCCUGCAUCCUUGCCUGUUAGUUUCUGAACUAUUGAUUUGAAAUUCCUUGCAUCUGUCUCGAUAUACUCCGUGUUGAUUAUCACCACCUUCACCUUAUCCUUGUCAUUUCUGUCUGUUGACAUGUUCUCUGUACUUCUGAAUUAGUCGAGACAGUAAAUUUUGAAUAUCACUCUAGAUACAAACUCAAGCUAAGAUUCUGCUUAUAAACGUAAUGAUAUAAUUAAACUUUAUCUGACUGUGAAAUCGAAUAAAUACUAAAGUCAAUCACACAUCUACGAUUAUCUCAAAAUAUAGAAAUAUCGAAAACGAAGAAUUCAAUCUAGGAUUCUUG
Solanum stenotomum is the source of this 1316-nucleotide long non-coding RNA. RefSeq lists it as uncharacterized. The record is from RefSeq and is a predicted model, not a curated record. The transcript has 2 exons. NCBI's taxonomy places the organism in Eukaryota, Viridiplantae, Streptophyta, Magnoliopsida, Solanales, Solanaceae.